This 292-nucleotide ribosomal RNA is filed under the name uncultured bacterium. RNAcentral describes it as "partial 16S ribosomal RNA". The record is from RNAcentral.
GGACUACUGGGGUAUCUAAUCCUGUUUGAUCCCCAUGCUUUCGCAUCUCAGUGUCAGUACUGGACCAGUGAGCCGCCUUCGCCACUGAUGUUCCACCUGAUAUCUACGUAUUUCACCACUACACCAGGUAUUCCACUCACCUCUUCCGUACUCAAGCUAAGCAGUUUCGAGUGCACUUCCCGGGUUAAGCCCGGGGCUUUCACACCCGACUUACAAAGCCACCUACAUGCGCUUUACGCCCAAUGAUUCCGAACAACGCUAGGGACCUUCGUAUUACCGCGGCGGCUGGCAC